This 1011-nucleotide ribosomal RNA is filed under the name Triticum aestivum (bread wheat). RNAcentral's name for it is "partial small subunit ribosomal RNA". Lineage: Eukaryota; Viridiplantae; Streptophyta; Magnoliopsida; Poales; Poaceae. The record is from RNAcentral.
AUGGGCACGCUUCUCCGCCGCGUCCUCCUCUCCCUCGCGCUCCUCGCCGCCGCCGCGACCCCCGGCGCGGCGGCGGCGGCGGCCAGGCUGUCGACGUCGUACUACAGCCGCAGCUGCCCCCGCGUGGAGCAGAUCGUCUCGGACGUGGUCGCCGCCAAGCAGCAGGCCAACCCGUCCACGGCGGCGGGCACGCUGCGCCUCUUCUUCCACGACUGCUUCGUCUCCGGCUGCGACGCCUCCGUCCUCGUCUCCCCGCUCUCCUCCGACCGGACCCCGGAGCGGGCCGCGGAGAUCAACCUCUCCCUCCCGGGGGACGCCUUCGACGCCGUGGCCCGCGCCAAGGCCGCGCUGGAGGCCGCCUGCCCGGGCACCGUCUCCUGCGCCGACAUCCUCGCGCUGGCGGCGCGCGACCUGGUGGGGAUCCUGGGCGGGCCGCGGUUCCCCGUCUUCCUCGGCCGCCGCGACGCGCGCCGCUCCGACGCGCGCGACGUGGAGGGCAACCUCCCGCGCACCAACAUGUCGGCGCGCGCCAUGACGGUCCUGUUCGCGCGCAAGGGCAUCACGCCGCAGGAGAUGGUGGCGCUGGCGGGCGCCCACACCGUGGGCUUCUCCCACUGCUCCGAGUUCGCGCACCGGGUGUACAACUACAAGGGCAAGGGCGGCGGCGCCAGCGGGCACGACCCGUCGCUGAACCCGGAGUUCGCGCGGGCGCUGCAGAGCUCCUGCGCCGGCUACGAGAGCAACCCGGACAUCUCCAUCUUCAACGACAUCGUGACGCCGCGGGACUUCGACGAGCUCUACUUCAAGAACCUACCCCGUGGCCUCGGGCUGCUCGCCUCCGACGCCGCGCUGUGGGAGUACCCGCCCACCAAGGUGUUCGUCCAGCAGUACGCCGACAACCGGACCGCCUUCUUCCAGGACUUCGCCAGGGCGAUGCAGAAGCUGGGCACCGUCGGCGUCAAGACGGGGCGGCAGGGCGUCGUCAGGCGGCAGUGCGACAUCCUCGACUAA